UGUCACUCCCGAGAUGAGUAACUGUUGUGCGAGGUGCAAGAAGUACAUCUGCAGAAAGCACAAAGUCACAUUCUGUCCAUCAUGUGGGGAAAAUGUUGAACACUGAAAAUCCGAGAAAAUGGGGCAAGUUAAAUGAAAAAAAAAAGUCUUCGUGAACAGG
Molecule: long non-coding RNA, 160 nt
Organism: Thalassophryne amazonica
Lineage: Eukaryota; Metazoa; Chordata; Actinopteri; Batrachoidiformes; Batrachoididae
Exons: 3
Source: RefSeq, a predicted model, not a curated record